This is a long non-coding RNA of Bufo bufo (common toad), 660 nucleotides long. RefSeq lists it as uncharacterized. NCBI's taxonomy places the organism in Eukaryota, Metazoa, Chordata, Amphibia, Anura, Bufonidae. The transcript has 3 exons. The record is from RefSeq and is a predicted model, not a curated record.
UGACUGGACAACACUGGGCCUGUUGGCCUUCAGAAAAUUCAGGUAAAUGGUCCCAAUUUUGGGACCCCUUAUCUCCUCUUAUUCUCUAAAGUAGACAGCCAUCGGCGGCCCAUGUCCAAGCAAGAAUACAUAGAAAACCAUUCAACUCCGGUAUCCAGCCAUUUGUGAUUUCUCGACCAUAAACAGUUGAUUGGCCCCGCAGCAGUACAGCCACCCCACCACCUAUACCCCGAGUGAUCAGGUUAUGGCAGGGGCCCUGCAAAUCUCUAGCUUUACCACAUCCUGCAGUCUCGUCAUUAUCAAUUAACACAAACUAGAGCUACACAGUGCAAACUGUGAAGAAAAACAAAACAAAAAAAAACAUUUUGCAAUUUGGAAGCCGAUAUAGCCAACGGCCGGUCAAGCCAAAUCUAAAGGCACAACCUAAUAACACUGAUCUAUGGACUAGAAUGUGGACCUGUACACGAUUAAACUUCCCAAUGGGGCUAGUGUUACUUGGAUCUAUCUUCAUGACAGGACUUCUAAGACUGAAGCCUAUGCGAUCAUCACCAGUAAUCUGCCUUCCUGUGUAUUACAUAUUCUUAGGGUAAAUGUAGUGUUACAUGGCGCCCAUUAGAAUGAGUAGCCAAUAGUGUUGAGCGUUCUUGUGUUUUCAAGAUC